This is a long non-coding RNA of Wyeomyia smithii (pitcher-plant mosquito), 659 nucleotides long. RefSeq lists it as uncharacterized. The transcript is spliced from 2 exons. The record is from RefSeq and is a predicted model, not a curated record. Lineage: Eukaryota; Metazoa; Arthropoda; Insecta; Diptera; Culicidae.
GUGUGGCAAUGGUAUUAUAGUUGUACUGGUGCCUUCCACCACUUCCUAAUAUCAUGUGUAAAAUUGCUAGGAUUUUAUUUACGCUACCGUUGCUAAGAAGAGGUGCUACGUCAUACCAAUGUUUUGGUUUCGUUUUCUUGCAGUGUUAUAGUGUAAUUUAAUGGCAUCGAUUCAGUAAUUCGGUUAUAAUUCUAUGAAAACGUGAAGAGAUUAGAAAAUGUUGAGGUGUGCAGUCUUCAUUAGUGGUACUAAUGACUAUCGUGCUGGAGAAAUACUAGUUUGAGCUGCUUUAUAAAGGAACAGGUGUCGCAAAGGAAGUGGAUGAAGUUGGCAACUGUCAAAACGGAUACGGUUAUGUAUAGAUUAAAUUAUUUCCAGCAGCAAAAUUUGAUCUAUGUUGAAGAUACUAGAAGUAAACAUUGAAACAGUACCGCUACCUGAUGAACUCAUCGAGCAACUCAUUAAGAUCAAAACACUGGUGAGAGAUUAUUUGAAACGCAAGAGGACAGUCCAGCAUUAUAAUUCAUGCCACAGGGAAAACAGGGAAAACAAAUAACAGAAUCGGAUUCGGAUUUCAUACCGGAGUUUUCUGCCAUUUCCAGUUUAAUAUGAUCCGUGGCUUAUUGCAGAGCUCCCACUAUUUUUUUUUUUUUUUUUUU